AUGGGCGCCACUUCGCCGGACUCCGGCGACCUCAUCCUGGUCGAGCCGGCGAGGCCGGGGUCCAAGGUCGCCGUGGUGACCAUCAACCGCCCCGAUGCGCUGAACGCGCUGACGCGCUCGAUGAUGAUCUCCCUGGCCUCGGCGUUCCGGCGGCUGGACGCCGACGACGGCGUGGCCGCGGUGGUGCUCGCGGGCCGCGGCCGCUCCUUCUGCGCAGGGGUGGACCUCACGGCGGCGGAGGAGGUCUUCAAGGGCGACGUCAACGACCCCGCCGCUAACCCCGUCGCCCAGAUGGAGCUCUGCCGGAAGCCCAUCGUCGGCGCCGUCGCCGGGUUCGCGGUCACCGCGGGCUUCGAGAUCGCACUCGCCUGCGAUCUCCUCGUCGCUGGCCGCUCCGCCAAGUUCCUCGACACCCACGCCAAGUUUGGGAUAUUUCCUUCUUGGGGUCUUUCACAGAAGCUCUCUCGUCUCAUCGGGCCAAACAGAGCACGAGAAGUGUCACUAGCUUGCAUGCCUGUCACUGCUGAAAUGGCUGAGAAGUGGGGGCUUGCUAACCACAUUGUGGAAGAUAGUCAGGUGCUGAGUAAGGCCAUAGAGGUCGCCGAGGCCAUUGCGAGGAAUAACCGCAACUUGGUGGUGCUAUACAAGUCAGUUAUAAAUGAUGGGCUUCAGCUGGACAUGAAACAUGCCCGAGCUCUUGAAAAGGAAAGAGCUGUCAACUAUUACAAUGGCAUGACAAAGGAGCAAUUCGCAAAUAUGCAGAAGUUUAUACAAGGCCGGAGUUCUAGAGCACCAUCGAAGUUGUAG
This 807-nucleotide ribosomal RNA is filed under the name Triticum aestivum (bread wheat). Its description in RNAcentral is "partial small subunit ribosomal RNA". Lineage: Eukaryota; Viridiplantae; Streptophyta; Magnoliopsida; Poales; Poaceae. The record is from RNAcentral.